GACCCAUUAGCUCAGUUGGUAGAGCAUCUGACUUUUAAUCAGGGUGUCCGGCGUUCGAGUCGCCGAUGGGUCACCA
Molecule: transfer RNA, 76 nt
Filed under: Senegalia massiliensis
Lineage: Bacteria; Bacillati; Bacillota; Clostridia; Eubacteriales; Clostridiaceae
Also listed under: 4 other names
Description: tRNA-Lys
Rfam family: tRNA
About the family: Transfer RNA (tRNA) molecules are approximately 80 nucleotides in length. Their secondary structure includes four short double-helical elements and three loops (D, anti-codon, and T loops).
Source: RNAcentral